Molecule: ribosomal RNA, 575 nt
Filed under: uncultured rumen bacterium
Lineage: Bacteria
Description: bacterial SSU rRNA
Rfam family: Bacterial small subunit ribosomal RNA
Source: RNAcentral
GGCAGCAGCUAAGAAUAUUCCGCAAUGGACGAAAGUCUGACGGAGCGACGCCGCGUGGAUGAUGAAGGCCGGAAGGUUGUAAAAUCCUUUUAUGACUGAGGAAUAAGUGAAGUGAGAGAAACGCUUCAUGGUGACUGUAGGUCAUGAAUAAGCAACGGCUAAUUACGUGCCAGCAGCCGCGGUAACACGUAAGUUGCGAGCGUUGUUCGGAAUUAUUGGGCGUAAAGGGUAUGUAGGCGGUUCUGCAAGUCUGGUGUGAAAUACCGGGGCUCAACCCCGGAACUGCGUUGGAAACUGCAGGACUUGAAUCGCUGAGGGGCAGCCAGAAUUCCAGGUGUAGGGGUGAAAUCUGUAGAUAUCUGGAAGAAUACCAAUGGCGAAGGCAGGCUGCCAGCAGAUGAUUGACGCUGAGGUACGAAGGUGCGGGGAGCAAACAGGAUUAGAUACCCUGGUAGUCCGCACAGUCAACUAUGUACACUGGGUGUCCGCUCAUGAGAGUGGGUGCCGAAGCAAACGCGAUAAGUGUACCGCCUGGGGAGUAUGCCCGCAAGGGUGAAACUCAAAGGAAUUGACGG